RNAcentral lists this ribosomal RNA (422 nucleotides) under uncultured bacterium. Its description in RNAcentral is "bacterial SSU rRNA". It matches the Rfam family "Bacterial small subunit ribosomal RNA", at positions 357 to 771 of the family's 1533-position model. The record is from RNAcentral.
GGGAAUUUUGCGCAAUGGGCGAAAGCCUGACGCAGUAACGCCGCGUGGAGGAUGAAGGUCCUUGGAUUGUAAACUCCUGUCAGCAGGGAAGAAAUGCGCCGACCUAAUACGUCGGUGAGUUGACUGUACCUGCAGAGGAAGCCCCGGCUAACUACGUGCCAGCAGCCGCGGUAAAACGUAGGACGCAAACGUUAUCCGGAAUUACUGGGCGUAAAGCGCGCGCAGGUGGGUGAACAAGUCAUGCGUGAAAGCUCCCGGCUAAACUGGGAGAGGUCGGAUGAUACUGUUCGUCUAGAGUAUGUUAGAGGCGUGUGGAAUUCCGCGUGUAGUGGUGAAAUGCGUAGAGAUGCGGAGGAACACCAGUGGCGAAGGCGGCACGCUGGGACAUUACUGACACUGAGGCGCGAAAGCAUGGGUGGCGA